GGGGAAUUUUCCGCAAUGGGCGAAAGCCUGACGGAGCAACGCCGCGUGAGGGAGGAAGGCUCUUGGGUUGUAAACCUCUUUUAUCAAGGAAGAUAAUGACGGUACUUGAUGAAUCAGCAUCGGCUAACUCCGUGCCAGCAGCCGCGGUAAUACGGAGGAUGCAAGCGUUAUCCGGAAUAAUUGGGCGUAAAGCGUUCGUAGGUGGUGAUGUAAGUCUGCUGUUAAAGCGUGUAGUUCAACUACAUAUAGGCAGUGGAAACUACAUGACUAGAGUGCGUUCGGGGCAGAGGGAAUUCCUGGUGUAGCGGUGAAAUGCGUAGAUAUCAGGAAGAACACCGGUGGCGAAGGCGCUCUGCUAGGCCGUAACUGACACUGAGGGACGAAAGCUAGGGGAGCGAAUGGGAUUAGAUACCCCAGUAGUCCUAGCUGUAAACGAUGGAUACUAGGCGUUGUCUGUAUCGACCCGGACAGUGCCGUAGCUAACGCGUUAAGUAUCCCGCCUGGGGAGUACGCACGCAAGUGUGAAACUCAAAGGAAUUGACGGGGGCCCGCACAAGCGGUGGAGUAUGUGGUUUAAUUCGAUGCAACGCGAAGAACCUUACCAAGGCUUGACAUGUCCGGAAUUUCUUGGAAACGAGAAAGUGCCUUCGGGAGCCGGAACACAGGUGGUGCAUGGCUGUCGUCAGCUCGUGUCGUGAGAUGUUGGGUUAAGUCCCGCAGCGAGCGCAACCCUCGUUUUUAGUUGCCAGCACUUCGGGUGGGCACUCUAGAGAGACUGCCGGUGACAAACCGGAGGAAGGUGGGGAUGACGUCAAGUCAUCAUGCCCCUUACGUCUUGGGCUACACACGUACUACAAUGCUAUGGACAAAGAGCAGCCAACCAGCGAUGGUGCGCUAAUCUCAUAAACCAUGGCUCAGUUCAGAUCGCAGGCUGCAACUCGCCUGCGUGAAGUAGGAAUCGCUAGUAAUUGCAGGUC
RNAcentral lists this ribosomal RNA (977 nucleotides) under uncultured Nostocales cyanobacterium. RNAcentral describes it as "bacterial SSU rRNA". It matches the Rfam family "Bacterial small subunit ribosomal RNA", at positions 356 to 1350 of the family's 1533-position model. The record is from RNAcentral. Lineage: Bacteria; Bacillati; Cyanobacteriota; Cyanophyceae; Nostocales.